UUACGGCCAUAUCACGUUGAAACGCUGAUUCUCGUACGAUCUCCAAUGUUAAGCAACGACGUGCCUGGUCAGUACUUAAAUGAGUGACCAAUUGGGAAUACCUUGUGCUGUAGG
Acanthosepion pharaonis is the source of this 114-nucleotide non-coding RNA. Lineage: Eukaryota; Metazoa; Mollusca; Cephalopoda; Sepiida; Sepiidae. The record is from the annotation of a GenBank genome assembly.